UGUAUGCCAAGGUCAACAAACCAAGGGCAGCUGGUACCACGUCUCCUCCUGCUCCCGUUGCCCCAAAUGACAGCUGUGUGGACAGGAUCCAGCUCUUAAGGAGAGAGUACCAGCAGGCACGGAGAGAAGGUAUGGUGCCACCCUAUGAAGAACUGGACCCACGGCGAAGAGGACAUGACAACGACACACACAUGAUGCCAGGCAGAGGGGUGGAUCCUCGGAUGGCGCCGCGUUAUGAAGAGGUGGAGCGUCAGUACGCUUCCUUGCCGAGACGCGGCCCUCUGGACCCAGCUGAUUACCCCAUGCAGCCCUGGCCUGGCCACUACCCAGCACCAACCCAGGCCCCACAGGGAUACCCUCACUCCCCCUCCUACCCUAACCCCAAAGCCCCGGCGGCUCCAUCGUACUCUGGCUACACACCCGGCCAGCCGUACCCACGGCCGGCGGACCCCCGGGGCGUCGAGCCCGGCUACUACCUGCACCCAGGUUCGCAGCAGAGAGGCCCUUUGCGGCAGGACGUGCCCCCGUCUCCCACCCCUCCCCUUCGUGGAUUACGGUACGACACUAUGACACGUGGGACUGGAGGCUACAGGUAGACGGCGUAUCUGGACGCAGGCCAUCUCAGGCAGCUGCUGGAUUCCAGUCCAGACCAAUAUGGCUGAACUGUGGGUGGAGGAAGACAGCUACGACCAAACCAAGACAGAGGAAUGCCCCGACUGCAGCUGUGAAGACAAAAACAAGCCAAGGGUGGAGCUCCUCUACGUUCGGUACUCCAACGUCACCUUGUGCAAAAAAGAUUUCAGCUCCCAAACAGUGUCUGCACUGUCUGAAGUGCAUUGUGAUGAGCUGAAGGACGGUAAAGGAUUCUGGCCGUGACAGAUGAGUUUGUCCCUUUUGGAAUCGACCAUGCACCCAAAACUAUCUGGAUUCAUUUAAAUAAAGCCACUAAAGAUUAAAGCCA
This 961-nucleotide long non-coding RNA is filed under the name Betta splendens (Siamese fighting fish). Its description in RNAcentral is "lncRNA (ENSBSLG00000023492.1)". Lineage: Eukaryota; Metazoa; Chordata; Actinopteri; Anabantiformes; Osphronemidae. The record is from RNAcentral.